RNAcentral lists this unclassified non-coding RNA (315 nucleotides) under plant metagenome. Its description in RNAcentral is "partial contains 5.8S ribosomal RNA, internal transcribed spacer 2, and large subunit ribosomal RNA". The stretch from base 1 to 105 matches the Rfam family "5.8S ribosomal RNA", at positions 50 to 154 of the family's 154-position model. The record is from RNAcentral.
GAACUGCGAUAAGUAAUGUGAAUUGCAGAAUUCAGUGAAUCAUCGAGUCUUUGAACGCACAUUGCGCCCCCUGGCAUUCCGGGGGGCAUGCCUGUCCGAGCGUCAUUGCUGCCCUUCAAGCCCGGCUUGUGUGUUGGGUCGUCGUCCCCUCCGGGGGACGGGCCCGAAAGGCAGCGGCGGCACCGCGUCCGGUCCUCGAGCGUAUGGGGCUUUGUCACCCGCUCGAUGAGGACCGGCCGGGCGCCAGCCGGCGUCUCCAACCUUUUUUUCUCAGGUUGACCUCGGAUCAGGUAGGGAUACCCGCUGAACUUAAGC